GCUGGUUUCCAGGGCUGAUCUUGCGGCCAACUCGCCCCAAUGUAAGAAAUUGGAGAAAAAACAACAAUAAAACAAGAAAAACUCAAAAAGGUGGCAGCUUUGAUUAGGCAUACUCUCACAUAGUUCACCCUAAACACACUUAGUCUGCCCUAGUUGAAAAGUCACCGAAAGACGGCGAAGCCUACAGUUGAUCAGAACAGCUCCACCUAAGCAUACCGUGCUAAGCCGUGCUGCUUCUUAUCACAACGCUUGCACAACCAGGAAGUUUCUGCCGAGACCUAUGCAAUUAAAGACGUGCACAUUCUUCGGACAACGACAGCAAUAGAUCUUGCUUACACCAUAAAGUCGCUACAAGGAGCAAGAUGAAAGAAUUAUCCAGGAAGAGGUAGAACGGCCGUCAGAACAGUCCACCCUACUGUAGACGUGUAGGGUACUACUGUGGGUGCAUCUGUCUCCAAUCCAUCCCCCUUAGCUGCUCUUCAGUGAAAAUAUCAAGUCAUUGGCUGCUAAGCUCUGGUUAACUGAAAAGUACAGGUAAGUAAGGAGCCAACACCCAGGACCCAGCAGUAAGGAGCCAACACCCAGGACCCAGCAGUAAGGAGCCAACACCCAGGACCCAGCAGUAAGGAGCCAACACCCAGGACCCAGCAGUCAGGGGCCAACACCCAGGUCCCAGCAUUAAGGGGCCAACACCCAGGUCCCAGCAGUAAGGAGCCAACACCCAGGACCCAGCAGUAAGGAGCCAACACCCAUGACCCAGCAGUAAGGAGCCAACACCCAGGACCCAGCAGUCAGGGGCCAACACCCAGGUCCCAGCAUUAAGGGGCCAACACCCAGGUCCCAGCAGUAAGGAGCCAACACCCAGGACCCAGCAGUCAGGGGCCAACACCCAGGUCCCAGCAUUAAGGGGCCAACACCCAGGUCCCAGCAGUAAGGAGCCAACACCCAGGUCCCAGCAGAAACGGGCCAUCACCCAGGUCCCAGCAGUAAGGGGCCAACACCCAGGUCCCCGCAGUAAGGGGCCAACACCCAGGUCCCCGCAGUAA
Esox lucius (northern pike) is the source of this 1046-nucleotide long non-coding RNA. RefSeq lists it as uncharacterized. NCBI's taxonomy places the organism in Eukaryota, Metazoa, Chordata, Actinopteri, Esociformes, Esocidae. The transcript is spliced from 5 exons. The record is from RefSeq and is a predicted model, not a curated record.